Non-coding RNA from Macaca mulatta (Rhesus monkey), 3034 nucleotides. NCBI's taxonomy places the organism in Eukaryota, Metazoa, Chordata, Mammalia, Primates, Cercopithecidae. The record is from RefSeq and is a predicted model, not a curated record.
AAAUUACCAUAAAUUGGGUGGCUUUACACAACAGAAAUUUGUUCUGGUGGUUAGAUGCCCAAAAUCAAGGUGUUGGAAAGACCACACUCCCUCCGAAGUGUCUAAGGGAGAAGUUGUCAUUGCCUCUUCUAGCUUCUGGUAGCCCAGGUAUUCUUUGGCUGGAGGCAACAUCAUUCAGCCUGGCCUCCAACUUCACAUGGCAGUCUUCCCUCUGUGUCUGUGUCCAAAAUUCUCUCUCCUUGUAAAAACACCAGUUAUAUUGCAUUAAGAGCCCACCCUUUUUCAGUAUGACUUCAUUUUCGCUUAACUAAUUACUUCUGCAAUUAUUCUAUUUCCAAAUAAGGUCACAUUUUGUAGUACUGGGAGGCUAAGGCUUUAACGUAUAUAUUGGGGGGGAUGCAAUUCAACCCAUAAUGGUAAGAAAUUUACAUUUCUUUUCAUUACAGACCCCGUGACAUCUCUACAGUUUCCCUACACACAACCCACAGUGGACCACAGUGGAUUGGCCCCAUUUGGGCAUUCCUUCUAUACUAGCCUAGUCUCAGAAACUUCAUUGAGUCCUAGAGGUGAAGGAUCUGUAUAGCUCAUCUCACACUGUCAUAUAAUCAGGGCAAGCUACAUGGACAUCAAAUUAUCAGACAGUUGCUUGGAGAGAAUGGAAGAAGCUGGAGGUCGGGGAAUGGGAGUUUUACAACUUGGACAUUUGGUAGCAUCCCAGGACUACAAGAAGAAGACAGAAGGGUGUCCAUCUUUGCUCAGUGCUUAGAUGAACGCUGCUAGCCUUGUCUCUGAUGUGUGAUUUUUACCUCCUUGGCUGACCAAAUCCUCCCCUGCCCUUUCUUUGUUAGGUACAUAUUGUAUCUUUGAUCUGGUUAAUGUCCAUUCUUAUUGCCUGGGGAGCCACUUGACUGCUUUAAGGCACUUGCUAAUCUCUGCUCUGAUCCAUUAGGAAUUCAUUUAGAGUUUAACUCUCUGAGGGCAACUUCAUUUCUAAGGCUUGAGGACCACAGUGCAGUAACAAACAGAGCAGAGAAAGGUAGAGGUCCCAGCAAAGGGGGCUGCCUCAUUGGGACAGUAUACUGCAAACCCUCAGGAAGGUGGGAGGAUAACAGGAAGACCCUAAGGAAAUGAGAGACUUAGGGUGAGGGUGAAAACAGGAAAAAGGAAGAGUGAAUGCCAACCUUCACUUUGCAAUUUUCCCUAGAGCCAAUUCUGACAGUAUCCUCCUGCCUCUUUUCAAAGAGCAGGCGGCAAAAACUGAGAUGACAACAAUUUUUUUUUCCUCUGUAAAGCUGGGCUCAAUUUGAGACAGAAUAUUAAUGGCAAAAGGCUCAAUAUCUCAUUAUCAAUCCCCAUGGGCAUAUAGUCCCCAGAAAAGAUAAAUAUUUGACUAGAUGAUAACAUGUGCGAUAAUUUAUAGUCAGCAUUCCACAUGCAUUUUCACUGAAUCUUUUAUUUGCAACUAGUACUUCGGAGUGGCCUAUACAAUUAUUUACAUAUAUAUUUUAAAUUCUGAACUCAGGAUCUGAGGAUCAUUAAGCCCAUAUAAGUCUUCAAAAAAAGAGCAGUUUCCUUAUUGAUUUACCCAGGACAGGCAACAGAAUGUCUACAUUCUUUCCCUUUAUCUUUCAGUUCAUUGAGUAAAAAUAGAUUGAGGCUUACCCCAGUUUUCUCAAAAUCUUGCUUGAAGGUGAACAUGAGGUCACCUUAAUGGCUAUCAAAACCAUUUCUUACUGCCAAGCUUGAAAAAUGUUUCCCACUUCUCUGAAAUUCUGUCUUUGGGGGAACUUUAACCUCUUUCUAACUUCUAAUUAGCUUUUCUUCAAGGACAAGAGUUCAGUGGAAAGUGAAAACAAGUCAGAGAGGCUGCGUGGGGCACCUAGGUUGCAAAAGUAAUGGGACUCCUUUCAUCUCUUCCUCUGUGCUAAUUCUAGGGAUUAAUACUGUUGUCUGUAAAAUAUCCUUUGAAACCAAGCCUCCUAAAGAAGGUAUUGAUGUAUACAAGCAGACACAAUUCCCAGAUGGGCUACUGGCUGAUUUAUGCUGAUCCAUGCACCUACACCCUCACAGAUUUGUCUUCAAUGACAACUCUUAUAAGAUGAGUCAUUCUUACAUGGACUCUUCAUAGACAGCCUAUUAUAGAUCCUUCCAAAUCCCUCUAGUCAGUGCAUUCUGGAGUCAAGUACUUUUCCACUAGGUGGGGGAAUGUUUUUCUAGUGGAAAAGGAAUCUUCCAUUCCUUUGGACAUGGGUAACAAUGACUGGCAGAAAAUGUGUUGUUUCAAAAGACUGCAUUGCAAAAGCUCUUUAUUUUCACAUUGCUAAAAGAUGCAGUUAAGUGGAUUUUUUAAAAAAUUAAGGAGAAGUCUGUUCUCAAAGAUAAAUGUAUCCUUUGAUUCAUUCAACAAAUAUUUGUUUAGUAGCUACUCGGAAGAUACUUUUAGGAUACUUUCUCCAUUACUUUUCAAGUAACAAAUCAAUGUUUGUAGGAAGAGGCACUAGGUUUAAAGUAUAACUUUAACUCUCAUGGAGCUUACAUUCUGUUGAGGAAGAUGGAUAAUAAGGAAGUGAAGGCACAAAUAAACCUAACAGCUUCCAGUAGCGAUAGGUUUUGGAUUUUUUUAAAGAAAUGAAUAGGAUAAUUGGAGGGUAACUGGGUGAUAGCCUUUGGAUGUUUGUCUCCUCCAAAUCUCAUGUUGAAGUGUGAUCCCCGGUGUUGGAGGUGGGGCCUGGUGGGAGGUGUUUGGAUCAUGGGGAUGGAUCCUUCAUGAAGGGCUUGCUACCAUUCUUGUGUAAUGAGUGAGUUUUUCACACUAUUAGUUCACAAGGCAGCUGGUUGUUUAAAAUGAGUUUGGGACCUCCAGUCGUCCUCUCUCUUGCUCCCUCUCUCACCAUGUGACGUACCUGCUCCCCCUUCAUAUUCUACCAUGAUUGUAAGUUUCCUGAGACCUCACCAGACGCCAAGCAGAUGUUGGUGCCAUGCUUGACAGCUUGCAGAACUCUGAGCCAAAUAAAACUCUUUUCUUUAUAAAUUA